This 301-nucleotide ribosomal RNA is filed under the name uncultured bacterium. Its description in RNAcentral is "partial 16S ribosomal RNA". It matches the Rfam family "Bacterial small subunit ribosomal RNA", at positions 509 to 807 of the family's 1533-position model. The record is from RNAcentral.
CAGUCGCCGCGGGAAUACGGAGGGUGCAAGCGUUAAUCGGAAUUACUGGGCGUAAAGCGCACGCAGGCGGUCUGACAAGUCAGAUGUGAAAUCCCCGGGCUUAACCUGGGAACUGCAUUUGAAACUGUCAGGUUGGAGUCUUGUAGAGGGGGGUAGAAUUCCAGGUGUAGCGGUGAAAUGCGUAGAGAUCUGGAGGAAUACCGGUGGCGAAGGCGGCCCCCUGGACAAAGACUGACGCUCAGGUGCGAAAGCGUGGGGAGCAAACAGGAUUAGAUACCCCAGUAGUCCCUGUCUCUUAUAC